GACGAACGCUGGCGGCGUGCCUAAUACAUGCAAGUAGAACGCUGAAGAGAGGAGCUUACUCUUCUUGGAUGAGUUGCGAACGGGUGAGUAACGCGUAGGUAACCUGCCUUGUAGCGGGGGAUAACUAUUGGAAACGAUAGCUAAUACCGCAUAACAAUGGAUGACACAUGUCAUUUAUUUGAAAGGGGCAAUUGCUCCACUACAAGAUGGACCUGCGUUGUAUUAGCUAGUAGGUGAGGUAAUGGCUCACCUAGGCGACGAUACAUAGCCGACCUGAGAGGGUGAUCGGCCACACUGGGACUGAGACACGGCCCAGACUCCUACGGGAGGCAGCAGUAGGGAAUCUUCGGCAAUGGGGGCAACCCUGACCGAGCAACGCCGCGUGAGUGAAGAAGGUUUUCGGAUCGUAAAGCUCUGUUGUAAGUCAAGAACGGGUGUGAGAGUGGAAAGUUCACACUGUGACGGUAGUUUACCAGAAAGGGACGGCUAACUACGUG
RNAcentral lists this ribosomal RNA (497 nucleotides) under uncultured bacterium. Its description in RNAcentral is "partial 16S ribosomal RNA". It matches the Rfam family "Bacterial small subunit ribosomal RNA", at positions 28 to 507 of the family's 1533-position model. The record is from RNAcentral.